This 253-nucleotide ribosomal RNA is filed under the name uncultured bacterium. Its description in RNAcentral is "partial 16S ribosomal RNA". It matches the Rfam family "Bacterial small subunit ribosomal RNA", at positions 524 to 776 of the family's 1533-position model. The record is from RNAcentral.
UACGUAGGGCGCAAGCGUUAUCCGGAAUUAUUGGGCGUAAAGAGCUCGUAGGCGGUUUGUCGCGUCUGCCGUGAAAGUCCGGGGCUCAACUCCGGAUCUGCGGUGGGUACGGGCAGACUAGAGUGAUGUAGGGGAGACUGGAAUUCCAGGUGUAGCGGUGAAAUGCGUAGAUAUCUGGAGGAACACCGGUGGCGAAGGCGGCAUUCUGGACUGUAACUGACACUGAGGAACGAAAGCCAGGGGAGCAAACGGG